AAGGAAUAUUGCUCAAUGGAGGAAACUCUGAUGCAGCGACGCCGCGUGAGUGAAGAAGGUCUUCGGAUCGUAAAACUCUGCCCUUGGUGACGAAAAAAAUGACGGUAGCCAAGGAGGAAGCCCCGGCUAACUACGUGCCAGCAGCCGCGGUAAUACGUAGGGGGCGAGCGUUGUCCGGAUUUACUGGGCGUAAAGGGUGAGUAGGCGGUAAUAUGUGUCAGAUGUAAAAGGCUAUGGCUUAACCAUAGUUGGCAUUUGAAACUGUAUUACUUGAGUGCAGGAGAGGUAAGUGGAAUUCCUAGUGUAGCGGUGAAAUGCGUAGAUAUUAGGAGGAACACCAGUGGCGAAGGCGACUUACUGGACUGUAACUGACGCUGAGUCACGAAAGCGUGGGUAGCAAACA
Molecule: ribosomal RNA, 403 nt
Filed under: uncultured bacterium
Lineage: Bacteria
Description: bacterial SSU rRNA
Rfam family: Bacterial small subunit ribosomal RNA
Source: RNAcentral